This 253-nucleotide ribosomal RNA is filed under the name uncultured prokaryote. RNAcentral describes it as "partial 16S ribosomal RNA". It matches the Rfam family "Bacterial small subunit ribosomal RNA", at positions 525 to 777 of the family's 1533-position model. The record is from RNAcentral.
ACGAAGGGGGCUAGCGUUGCUCGGAAUCACUGGGCGUAAAGCGCACGUAGGCGGCUUUCUAAGUCAGGGGUGAAAUCCUGGAGCUCAACUCCAGAACUGCCUUUGAUACUGCAAGGCUUGAGUACAGACGAGGUUGGCGGAAUUGAUGGUGUAGCGGUGAAAUGCAUAGAUACCAUCAAGAACUCCGAUUGCGUAGGCAGCUCACUAGGCUGUAACUGACGCUGAGGCACGAAAGCGUGGGGAGCGAACAGGA